GACGAACGCUGGCGGCGUGCUUAACACAUGCAAGUCGAGCGGAAAGGCCCUUCGGGGUACUCGAGCGGCGAACGGGUGAGUAACACGUGAGUAAUCUGCCCCUCACUCAGGGAUAACCGCGGGAAGCUGCGGCUAAUACUUGAUAUGACCACGUCUCGCAUGGGGUGUGGUGGAAAGCGUUUAGUGGUGAGGGAUGUGCUCGCGGCCUAUCAGCUUGUUGGUGAGGUAGUGGCUCACCAAGGCUUCGACGGGUAGCCGGCCUGAGAGGGUGACCGGCCACACUGGGACUGAGACACGGCCCAGACUCCUACGGGAGGCAGCAGUGGGGAAUAUUGGACAAUGGGCGAAAGCCUGAUCCAGCAACGCCGCGUGAGGGAUGACGGCCUUCGGGUUGUAAACCUCUUUCACCUCUGACGAAGCGCAAGUGACGGUAAGGGGAGAAGAAGGACCGGCCAACUACGUGCCAGCAGCCGCAGUAACAC
Molecule: ribosomal RNA, 482 nt
Filed under: uncultured bacterium
Lineage: Bacteria
Description: bacterial SSU rRNA
Rfam family: Bacterial small subunit ribosomal RNA
Source: RNAcentral